RNAcentral lists this ribosomal RNA (848 nucleotides) under Alteromonas macleodii. Its description in RNAcentral is "bacterial SSU rRNA". It matches the Rfam family "Bacterial small subunit ribosomal RNA", at positions 88 to 937 of the family's 1533-position model. Lineage: Bacteria; Pseudomonadati; Pseudomonadota; Gammaproteobacteria; Alteromonadales; Alteromonadaceae. The record is from RNAcentral.
AUGACGAGUGGCGGACGGGUGAGUAAUGCUUGGGAACUUGCCUUUGCGAGGGGGAUAACAGUUGGAAACGACUGCUAAUACCGCAUAAUGUCUUCGGACCAAACGGGGCUUCGGCUCCGGCGCAAAGAGAGGCCCAAGUGAGAUUAGCUAGUUGGUAAGGUAACGGCUUACCAAGGCGACGAUCUCUAGCUGUUCUGAGAGGAAGAUCAGCCACACUGGGACUGAGACACGGCCCAGACUCCUACGGGAGGCAGCAGUGGGGAAUAUUGCACAAUGGGGGAAACCCUGAUGCAGCCAUGCCGCGUGUGUGAAGAAGGCCUUCGGGUUGUAAAGCACUUUCAGUUGUGAGGAAAAGUUAGUAGUUAAUACCUGCUAGCCGUGACGUUAACAACAGAAGAAGCACCGGCUAACUCCGUGCCAGCAGCCGCGGUAAUACGGAGGGUGCGAGCGUUAAUCGGAAUUACUGGGCGUAAAGCGCACGCAGGCGGUUUGUUAAGCUAGAUGUGAAAGCCCCGGGCUCAACCUGGGAUGGUCAUUUAGAACUGGCAGACUAGAGUCUUGGAGAGGGGAGUGGAAUUCCAGGUGUAGCGGUGAAAUGCGUAGAUAUCUGGAGGAACAUCAGUGGCGAAGGCGACUCCCUGGCCAAAGACUGACGCUCAUGUGCGAAAGUGUGGGUAGCGAACAGGAUUAGAUACCCUGGUAGUCCACACCGUAAACGCUGUCUACUAGCUGUGUGUGUCUUUAAGGCGUGCGUAGCGAAGCUAACGCGCUAAGUAGACCGCCUGGGGAGUACGGCCGCAAGGUUUAAAACUCAAUGAAUUUGACGGGGGCCCGCACAAGCGGUGGGA